UUUCUGAGAACAUUCCAAAACCAAACUCCAUAGUUCAUUGAUGCUGUAGUGAAACGUAAGUGCAAUUCAGCUUAGUUAGUUUUCUUUUCGUCUUCUUUAAGUGCUAAAGUUUCUGAACUACUAGAAGCUUGAUCCGUAUCCUCCCCAGCAAAACCAAACUCAUUCACUCGUUUCUUAUCCACUGGAUAAACCCAUCUCUGAUAUAGGUAUAUUAAAAAUAUAAGAUCUGCAUGGCAAAGACAGAUGAAACAUUAGAAAACGAAAGCGAAAUUCAGCUUAGUUAGUUUUCUUUUCGUCUUCUUUCAGUGCUAAAGUUUCUGAACUACUAGAAGUUUGAUCCGUAUCCUCCCCAGCGAAACCAAACUCAUUGACUCGUUUCUUAUCCACUGGAUAAACCCAUCUCUGAUAUAGGUAUAUUAAAAAUAUAAGAUCUGCAUGGCAAAGACAGAUGAAACAUUAGUAACCCAAUUGGAUGAAAGCUAAUGCAUAUAAUAGAACCACACAAACGCAUAGAACGCUUGCAAUAAUAGACUUCUAAAACAAGAUGACCACAAAAAUUAGUGGCUCAACUAUAUGGGUAAUGCAUAUAAUAGAACCACACAAACGGAUAGAACGCUUGCAAUAAUAGACUUCUAAAACAAGAUGACCACAAAAAUUAGCGGCUCAACUAUAUCAAUUAGGCAGAAACAAAUGUAAAAGGAACAGUAGCAUCCAGGCAAUGUCUGCUUACUGCUCCUUUGGUUUUCACAAAAAACAGUAUUACAAAAUGGUCAACUAAAUCCAACAUAUAAGCUGCUACAAUCAAAUAAACAAGGUCAUCGUUUAUAAUGGUUAAAGAUUGCUCGAGCUUCUGUUAAGAUGUUUAUAGCAACCAGUAGUGAAGUUUCAACAGUGAGAACACCGACUUAGCAUCUUAAAAGAUGUUCUUAUCUAGCUGGUCACUUGAUUAACCAAGAAAGUCCCAAGACCAUGGCGUUGGUGUCGUAAUAGAGAGGUCACAGACAGUCAAUGAAACUCUCUAAAGAGUCUGCAUAAUGUUCUAUGGCUUUGAGCUUAUGAAACAACAUUAGAAUUCAAAGUAACAGGCAAAACUGGCUUGGAUUCCACUGGUCAGAGAAGAACGGCCGCUACUUAACCAAAUAAAAACAACCAAUCAACUACAAAGAAUCUUAUUUCAAAAACUUACCAUCACGGAACACAGAUAGGCGAUGUAGCAAUGGCAUUUUUAUUACAAAUGCAAACAAAUCAUCAAUAAUGGUAUUGAGAAACUUGUAAGUCAUCUGCCUCCAAGGUAAGUGAGCAACAGACUUCAGCUUAUAAUUGAUGAACAACUGGGGACACAUCAUAACAAAACCUGCAACAAUAAGAAUAGAAAAUAAUAAAUUACCAAGAAGCAAAGCGGUAGAAGUAUAUGCUAUCAGAAGUCCUCGCUUUAAAUGUUUUUAAGAGUACAGGUUUCUAGAAACUGUGAACUGCGCACUAAUGGAAAUUGUACUAUCAGUUGCAAGAUGAUCUGAAAAUGUUUAUCACAUUGUUCAACUGAUGCAGGGCUUUGAACUACAUUACUGAGAUCCUAUAUACCAAUGAGAUAAAAGAUGAAAAGAUCAAUAGAAACUUACCGAACAUAUAGACGCAGCUUGUCAUGGAUGAGAGGAUCCACGAGUACCAACUCUUGUGACGUUCAUACAUUAGAGAGUAUAUGGAAAAGCACACGACAAGGAAGAACAACACAUAGGACAAAUACUUCAUGGCAAGAUCAUCAUAUUCUUUCGUCUUAUUUCCAGCAUAUGAUUCCCGAUCUCGGAACCUCAACAUAGGUAUUCUACCAGAUCUGUCAAUCUAGAAAUCAAGGACAGUUAACAAUAGAACUGUUGGUGGUUUGAAUUUAUGCUUAAUCAAUCACAGUAUGUAAAAAGAAGGCAUCAACAAUGAAGAAGACAUUAAGAAGUUUGAAUUCUAUUUACUUUUUCUCGCACAUUCAGAACACUUGCACUUCGAAUUAUUUUCAAAUAUUGUUGUGUGUUAAUUCAGAUGCCAGUUGCAAACUCCUCUGCUAAGAGGAACGAAGGAUCUCAAGAGUCCAUGGAAAUGAAACUAAAUUGUACGACUUUAUAAUCAGUUACAAUUCUUUUCCUCUGCUAUGAAACUCCAUUUGGAAAAGGGUUGACCAUAGCCUAAAUUCUGGUUAGAUUAUCACAUAUGCAAGUUUUUCCAAGACUGCUAUUUGGAAAUUUUCUGAAUGAAGAUUGUCAAAAAUAUUGAGUCACUAAGCAGUUAUCUUAGUUACGCCCAAAACAUAUUGAUUCCAACAGCAAUGAAAGAAAAACAAACUCAAAAAACCUAUGACAACAGAUUCUGGUACUAUGGGUUAAAUAAAAAUUAAGGAACUUAAGGACAGUCAGGGGAAGCUUAAUGUCCUGGAAGUGCCAGAAAUACCUCUCAAGCCGCUGUCUGACAAUCUCAGAUUCUCGAUGAAGCUACUCAUUUCUGAGAACAUUCCAAAACCAAACUCCAUAGUUCAUUGAUGCUGUAGUAAAACGAAAGCGAAAUUCAGCUUAGUUAGUUUUCUUUUCGUCUUCUUUCAGUGCUAAAGUUUCUGAACUACUAGAAGUUUGAUCCGUAUCCUCCCCAGCGAAACCAAACUCAUUGACUCGUUUCUUAUCCACUGGAUAAACCCAUCUCUGAUAUAGGUAUAUUAAAAAUAUAAGAUCUGCAUGGCAAAGACAGAUGAAACAUUAGUAACCCAAUUGGAUGAAAGCUAAUGCAUAUAAUAGAACCACACAAACGCAUAGAACGCUUGCAAUAAUAGACUUCUAAAACAAGAUGACCACAAAAAUUAGUGGCUCAACUAUAUCAAUUAGGC
This 2863-nucleotide long non-coding RNA is filed under the name Nicotiana benthamiana. RNAcentral describes it as "long non-coding RNA (NBEN_LNC028081)". Lineage: Eukaryota; Viridiplantae; Streptophyta; Magnoliopsida; Solanales; Solanaceae. The record is from RNAcentral.